RNAcentral lists this ribosomal RNA (252 nucleotides) under uncultured bacterium. RNAcentral's name for it is "partial 16S ribosomal RNA". It matches the Rfam family "Bacterial small subunit ribosomal RNA", at positions 524 to 776 of the family's 1533-position model. The record is from RNAcentral.
UACGGAGGGUGCGAGCGUUAUCCGGAUUCACUGGGUUUAAAGGGUGCGUAGGUGGUAAUGUAAGUCAGUGGUGAAAUCUCUGAGCUUAACUCAGAAACUGCCAUUGAUACUAUGUUUCUUGAAUUUUCUGGAGGUCAGCGGAAUAUGUCAUGUAGCGGUGAAAUGCUUAGAUAUGACAUAGAACACCAAUGCGAAGGCAGCUGGCUACAGGGAUAUUGACACUGAGGCACGAAAGCGUGGGGAUCAAACAGG